GAAAUGGUGUCUUUAGACACCACCAUUUCUAUGAGAUCAUUUGUU
Non-coding RNA from Picea glauca (white spruce), 45 nucleotides. The record is from Rfam. Lineage: Eukaryota; Viridiplantae; Streptophyta; Pinopsida; Pinales; Pinaceae.